CUUAGCUCAGUCGGUUAGAGCAUCUGACUGUUAAUCAGAGGGUCCAAGGUUCAAGUCCUUG
RNAcentral lists this transfer RNA (61 nucleotides) under bovine gut metagenome. It matches the Rfam family "tRNA", at positions 8 to 63 of the family's 71-position model. Rfam says of the family: Transfer RNA (tRNA) molecules are approximately 80 nucleotides in length. The record is from RNAcentral.